GUGUGUGUGUGUGUGUGUGUGUAGCCGUUGUUACUCAGUAGUGGAAAUGUGUAUUCAAGAACACACCCUUGGGUGGUAAUACUGGUUCUCUGUUAAUUCUAGUUCUGUUGAUCAUCUCUCCCUGUACUCUCUUAAGUUAUUUCUACCUGAGACCACAUUGCACAGCUCGACUUCAACUGGUUUUCCUCCAUCCCCACAUUGCUGAGAGACAGACUGACUGCCAGCAGUCCUGUUUCCUGCUGGAGAGUGAAAUGGAGAGAUUCUCAGUGAGGCAGAUCUGGAGAGGGGCAUAUGGUCAUGUGCUUGAAUAAGUUCCAUCUGAUCACCCCCCUCCGUUUUCUUGUGAAAAAAAAUAUGUACAUACUGAGAUGUGUAUUUCCUCCACAGCUGAGCUGACGGUCAGUCAUAAGCACUUUGAAGAAGCUUUCAGGAAAGUGAAACCAUCCAUAUCAGUAAAGGAUCAAAGGAUGUACGAAGCUCUACAGAGGUCCCUCAGUCAGUGACGUCCACGCCCAGUGCGUGGGACUCACCACGAACCACACUCACCUGACGGGUCUGCUUUCAACUUGACACAGGUGGUCUUCUUGUAAGCAUUUCAUUUUCAAGUUAAUGAGGCCAAAUCGAAGAAAAUGGUGUUUCCUAUCUGACCAGCUUUGUGGAAAAACUCUCUACCUCCUUUUUAAGAAAGAGAAAAAAAGAAAUGAUAAAACCUUAUUCAAAUAAAAUUUUAUUUUGAACU
RNAcentral lists this long non-coding RNA (739 nucleotides) under Rattus norvegicus (Norway rat). RNAcentral describes it as "long non-coding RNA NONRATT009060". The record is from RNAcentral. Lineage: Eukaryota; Metazoa; Chordata; Mammalia; Rodentia; Muridae.